UGACUCACACAAUUUUGGAUACUAAGAUUUUAGUUUCAGGCAUACAGUGAACCAAAUGCAGACUUGAAAACUAGGAUGUUUAAGAGAAUUUACGUAUAUUUAGGUUCAUUGAAGCUAGUUUUUAAGGUAGGUUUAAGAGAUUUUUUAGGACUUGAUGGAGAUUUCAUGAAGGGCCCUUACCCUGGACAUGUUUUCACUGUUGUGGGUCUUGAUUCCACUAAUGGGAUCUACCCACUAGCAUAUGCCAUAACUGAAGCGGAGACCACAAGCUCAUGGAGUUGGUUUCAAGAGUGUCUAGGUGAAGAUUUGGAACUCUCUUCAAAAUCAAACUUCACAUUCAUUUCUGACAGGCAAAAGGUAAAUGUUCUUAUGAUACUUGUUUUUAAUAUUUCCUUUACAAACUAACAUAUUUGUUACUUGUUAUUUAAUGGAUAAUACAUGCUAUUUCCAAGCUAUUCCUUAGUGUUGAGCACUGGUUGUGUUGAAGACAUAUUCAUGAGAUCAUGAAGCUACAAUUGAGGGGGAAGGAACACAAGGAUCAUGUGUGUCAAUGUGAAACAACAACAAUAGUUAGUCACUUUGAUAGAUUCAUGGAAGAUUUUAAAAAGUUCAAUUCAAAGGUAUAUGACUGGUUAAUGGGUAUUCCACCAAUACAUUGGGCAAGAGCACAUAUGUCAGGUACUCUAGUUUUCAAAUGAAAGGGGCUCGGGACGAUUGCAGCGCAUACACCCGUGAUUUUCGCAAAAUGUGACCUAUGGGAUUAGACUCUGAUAAUUGUUUAAUCGAAAUGCUUUUCAAUGUUUGGAACAAAGUUAUUAAAGUGUUUUUACUGUAUUAAAAAAUGGAAA
Lactuca sativa (garden lettuce) is the source of this 848-nucleotide non-coding RNA. The record is from RefSeq and is a predicted model, not a curated record. Lineage: Eukaryota; Viridiplantae; Streptophyta; Magnoliopsida; Asterales; Asteraceae.